Long non-coding RNA from Cyprinus carpio (common carp), 2340 nucleotides. Lineage: Eukaryota; Metazoa; Chordata; Actinopteri; Cypriniformes; Cyprinidae. The record is from Ensembl.
AUGGUUUUGCUAACAUCUUCUGCUAACAUGGCUCUUCUCUUAAUGCUGCUUUGUUCAUUGUUUGUGCAGAAUCUAAGAUCAAGUGAUUUAUACUGGGUGAGUACAUCGUACAAUAUUUGUGGCUCUUUGGACAUAGCCUAUGGAUUUAACUGUUCAGCCUUUGUGCAUUCCCCUCAAAUGCCAAAAGAGUUGGCAGAGGACUUAAAUUUAGCCUGGUUGCUACCCAGAGAUAUUCUUCAGCUUCAAAAUCUUUUGAUUUUAAAUGACUAUUUUGCAUUUGAUGGCAGACAUUACUGGGACUCUCAUUUUAAAAACUCUACAGAUUCUUCAUAUACUGAUGGUAAACAGAGAUGGUUAAUAUUUUUAUUGCUGCUUUUAUCUGGCAAUGUGCAGCCAAAUCCAGGCCCUGAGUUGCAGUGUAUUCCAUUGCCAUCUGAUGUGAAAUCCAUGUCUGGUUUGAGUGUAAUUCACCUUAAUGUUCGCAGUUUGUUACCCAAAAUGGAUCUGCUUAGAAUUUGGGUGAAUUUAACAGAUGCAGAUAUUGUUGUGCUAUCUGAAACCUGGCUGACAAAAUCAAUCACUGAUAUGGAUAUUGGAAUGGGUGGUUAUAACGUGUUUCGUGCUGACAGACCAAGGAAGGGUGGUGGGGUUGCUAUUUAUGUCAAAUCUAAAUUUAAUGUGAAGUUAGUCGAUUCAGAAUCAAUCGGUAAGCAGCUGGAAUUUUUGGCAGUGAAGGUGGAGUUGGCCAAGGGCCUUUAUGUUACUGUUGUUGGGUGUUAUAGGCCUCCUUCUGCCCUGAGUACUGCAUUGCAGACUCUUAUUCAACUCUUAUCCAGAUUGGACUACUCUGAAAUUAUUUUAGCAGGUGAUCUAAACUGGGACUGGCUGAAACCUUGUUCAGAUGAAUUUAAGUCAUUUUGUGAUUCUGUCAAUUUUACACAGUUAAUCAAUUCUCCCACUCGUUUAAAUCUUAAGUGCCAUGAGAAAUCCACCUUAAUUUAUUUAAUUUUGACUAAUGUCCCGCACAAAUUUUCUGCUGUUGGUGUUUUUUGCAAUGACCUAAGUGAUCAUUGUGUUGUUGCUGCUGUAAGAAAUACUAAGAUGCCUAAAUGUAAACCUCGCGUAAUAUGUAAGAGGAAUUUCAAAAAAUUUAAUGAACAGGGCUUUUGCCAUGAUUUGUUUAAUUGUGAUUGGAGUAGAAUAGAGCUGAUUCCCGAUGUGGAGUCAGCCUGGAUCUUUUUCCGGGAUAGUUUUUUGCAAGUAAUAAAUAGACACGCCCCACUAAAGAGAUUCAGAGUUAAGGGGCGGGACAAUCCCUGGUUUUCCUCUGAGCUUGGAGAUAUUCUUCAUGACCGCAAUUUAGCUUGGGCCAAAGCAAGAAAAACGGGCUCUUCGUCUGAUUGGCUUGUUUUUAGGCAGUUAAGAAAUAAAUGUUCUUCUUUUAUUAAGAAAGCAAAAUCUGACUUUUAUCUGUCAGCCACUACUAACACCUUAAAUGAUCCCAGAAAAUUUUGGAAGGCUAUAAAAUUACUUUCUUUAAACAAAGAUAGUAUUAAUGUUCCUUCUUUUAUUAUGAAAGAGUCUGUAGUAGUUCAUGACAAGCUGGAGAUAUUGAACCAUUUUAAUGAGUAUUUUAUUCAGUCUGGUUCUUUGUUUGACACUGCUUGUCCUUAUACUGUGACACCUUGUAGAGAUGUACCAGUCUCUACAAGUGUCUUCAAUCUCACUCCAUUCUUAGUGGCUGACGUUCAAAAAGCCCUAAAAGGGCUGGCUCCUGAAAAACCUCCAGGACCUGAUCUUAUAGAGCCCUACUUCUUAAAAAUAGCUGCUGAUUGUGUAGCACAGCCUCUAACGUACCUUUUUAAUCUUACUUUAGAGAGCAAUACUAUUCCCAAAAUAUGGAAAUCUGCAUUUGUUUGUCCAUUAUUGAAAGGGGGUGACCCGUCAAAUUUAAAUAAUUACAGGUCAAUUUCUAAUUUGUCUGUUUUGGCCAAAACGCUUGAAUCCCUGGUGAGUGAUCAGAUGAAAGACUUCUUGCAUGUACAGGACAUUUUAUCCCCAGUUCAGGCAGGUUUCAGAAAAAAACAUAGUACCAUCACAGCUGCAAUGAAGGUGAUAAAUGACAUCUCUGUUGCUCGUGACAAGAAGCAGCACUGUGCAGCACUUUUUAUUGAUUUGUCAAAAGCUUUUAACACGGUUGAUCAUGAUGUAUUAAAGAUUAGGCUUCUUAAUUCGGGGUUUCAAACUAUCUUAGUGACAGAACCCAGUGCAUUAAGUAUGAUGGUGUUCAAUCGGGUAUUUUACCAAUCCUUAAAGGGGUUCCACAAGGCUCUGUGUUAG